GACGAACGCUGGCGGCGUGCUUAACACAUGCAAGUCGAACGGAAAGGCCCUGCUUUUGUGGGGUGCUCGAGUGGCGAACGGGUGAGUAACGCGUGAGUAACCUGCCCUUGACUUUGGGAUAACUUCAGGAAACUGGGGCUAAUACCGGAUAGGAGCUCCUGCUGCAUGGUGGGGGUUGGAAAGUUUCGGCGGUUGGGGAUGGACUCGCGGCUUAUCAGCUUGUUGGUGGGGUAGUGGCCUACCAAGGCUUUGACGGGUAGCCGGCCUGAGAGGGUGACCGGCCACAUUGGGACUGAGAUACGGCCCAGACUCCUACGGGAGGCAGCAGUGGGGAAUAUUGCACAAUGGGCGGAAGCCUGAUGCAGCAACGCCGCGUGCGGGAUGACGGCCUUCGGGUUGUAAACCGCUUUCGCCUGUGACGAAGCGUGAGUGACGGUAAUGGGUAAAGAAGCACCGGCUAACUACGUG
This 468-nucleotide ribosomal RNA is filed under the name uncultured bacterium. Its description in RNAcentral is "partial 16S ribosomal RNA". It matches the Rfam family "Bacterial small subunit ribosomal RNA", at positions 28 to 507 of the family's 1533-position model. The record is from RNAcentral.